Molecule: unclassified non-coding RNA, 2356 nt
Filed under: Polistes fuscatus (common paper wasp)
Lineage: Eukaryota; Metazoa; Arthropoda; Insecta; Hymenoptera; Vespidae
Description: sorting nexin-8-like, transcript variant X3
Source: RNAcentral
UAAAAUCGUAUUGGUCCCCUCAGUUCAGCGCCAUCAGGCAAUGGCGAACGGUGUUAAUCGUUCUUGUCAUUAUCGAGAUCUCAAUUAUUCGAAAUAUUUAAAGCCGGGGGGGGGUAUUCGUGCAAGGCGACACGAGUGUUUGCGCGUAUCAACGAUUCACGUGUACAAGUUAAAGGAAUUCUAACCUAAAUAAUAAAAGGAAAAAAACGUUAGUAGGACAUAGAGGAAUUGUUUGCGAUCGGCUUCCCGGAUGAUCUACCAGUGAGAGCCAACAUGGCGUCAACCGAUCUGUCGUUCGGUUCGAUACCACCAUUCUACAGAGAAGUUUACGAGAAGAUCUGUUCACCAACGUGUGGUAACGUCGAACGUGAAGUUUUUAAAUCCCUUCUCGUGAAAUCUCAGCUGAGCAGCUCAAUUCUCAGUCAGAUAUGGGAACUCGUGGACAGCAAGACGGGUUAUCUAACGAGAAGCGGAUUGUACAAGGGUCUUGCUCUCGUAGCUUUUGCUCAACAAGGAAAACAACCGAGCGACAAACUUCUCGAAAAUUCCGAAUCUCAAGAAUUGCCCGUCCCGAUUCUUGGCGAUUUAACGGAGGUCACGUUGUUAGCUCAAAGACUGCACCGAGGUAACAAUCCAGCGAAACUGAAUCUCACAUACACGGACAUAUGCAAUUUAGAUUCGAUAGAGGUCAACUUGGUACCGGAGAAGAAAGGUAUCUUCUUAAAGCACGUGGAAUAUCAAGUUACGAGCAAGAGAUUUAAUUCGGUAGUUUGUAGAAGAUACAAUGACUUUGUAUCGUUACACGAACUUCUUCUCGCGAGGUUCCCAUAUAGAUUGAUACCGAAAUUACCACCAAAAAAGAUGGUAGGAGCCAAUUCACAAUUUUUGGAAGAACGAAGACGAUCUCUUUUGAGGUUUCUGACAUUGAUCGCACGUCAUCCGGUUGUUAACAAGGAUCCAAUCGUACAUUUCUUCUUAACUUAUGCAGGCGAGGAAACCCAGCACAAGAUACGCGAAGUUUUCCGACGAGUAUUGGACGAAUUCGCAACGUCCGAAUUAUCAUCGAGGGCUAAGGAAUUAGUACCACCCGAAACUCUUACCGAAUUUGCUAACAGUAGAGAUCAGAUAAGAGUAAUACUAUUAGGUAUAACACGUUUGAAGAAUAUAGCUGAUUGUCUGGCUAUCAGAACUCACACUUACGCAGUAGACAUGGAAGAAUUGGGAACUCAAUUGAACACUUUGGCAUGCGAACCACAUGGUGCUAGUUCUUGGGUUACCGGUGGUUCCACGUUAUGGCAGGAUUUAAAAAAAGGUUUCCAUGUCAUUUCAAAAGAAUUUAAUAUUUUAUCGACUAAAGCAUUGCAACAAGCAGUCAGAGAAGAGACUAUUAUAUGCGAGAGACUGAACUUUUUAUUGGAUAUUCUCGUAGCACAUAGAGUAUUAUGUGAAAGACACGAACGUGGUGUUAGUGCUGAUCAUCAACGUGCGUUGUCAUCUAUGUUGUCGUUAAAAAAACGACAAUUUACUGGAGCCAUUCGUGGGACUAAUGCGGAUACAGUCGAGUAUCUGGAAAAUAAAAUGAUCGCCCAGGAGUCCGUCAUUGCUAACGUCGAAUUGAGAAAUUGUUUUUCCUUGCAUUGCUUGCACAUGGAAACGCAAUUGGUUCACGCACACUUGGAACUACUCGCAUCGGUUUUACAGAGUCUUGUUAGCGUGCAAAUAAAAGGACACUCGGAGCUUACCGAAGUGUGGAAGUCAAUUGAUUCUACAAUCGCAAAAUGCUUCCCGGGAAAAUCAGCGCACGGAGUGUUAUAGCGAACAAAGAAUUUUCUUAUGAAAAGAAAUUUCAUCUUUUAGUGAUAUCGUUUGUACAAACCAAUAAGUAACGAACAUGACUGAUAUAAAUUCAACAAAAAAAAAAAAUAACAAACAAAUCUCUCAUAAAGAUCGGAAUGAGAAGAAAAAAUAUUCGACUAGUGACCCUUUUGAGAAAGGUCGGUCUUUAAUACCUGAACACUCAUUCAAAUAUCUUCAAUCUAAACUUUCUAUCUUUACCUAAUGGGGAAAUAUUUUGUCUUUUGAAGGAUAAAAUAAAUAACAGGAAAAUCCUUAGAAAGUUUAUAUUAUAAACUUUAUUAUAUACUAUAAUACAACUAUUAUAUCAUAAAUUAUCAUUUAGGAAUUAUGUUCGUUUGCAAAAAAGAUGGAAAAUGAUCGGUCAUUUUUCUAAUAUCCGAAAACUUUCCUGUUAAUUAGGAUAAAAUAGAAUCUAUUAUACAAUUUAUUUCAUUUUACAACAACCAACGUCUCGAUACAAUUGCAAAAGACGAUCUUCAUACAAUAUUCAAGAGAGAAA